UAGGGAAUCUUCCGCAAUGGGCGAAAGCCUGACGGAGCAACGCCGCGUGAGUGAUGAAGGUCUUCGGAUCGUAAAACUCUGUUAUUAGGGAAGAACAAAUGUGUAAGUAACUAUGCACAUCUUGACGGUACCUAAUCAGAAAGCCACGGCUAACUACGUGCCAGCAGCCGCGGUAAUACGUAGGUGGCAAGCGUUAUCCGGAAUUAUUGGGCGUAAAGCGCGCGUAGGCGGUUUUUUAAGUCUGAUGUGAAAGCCCACGGCUCAACCGUGGAGGGUCGUUGGAAACUGGAAAACUUGAGUGCAGAAGAGGAAAGUGGAAUUCCAUGUGUAGCGGUGAAAUGCGCAGAGAUAUGGAAGAACACCAGUGGCGAAGGCGACUCUCUGGUCUGUAACUGACGCUGAGGCUCGAAAGCGUGGGUAGCAAACAGG
Molecule: ribosomal RNA, 429 nt
Filed under: Bacteroidota bacterium
Lineage: Bacteria; Pseudomonadati; Bacteroidota
Description: Bacteroidetes bacterium partial 16S ribosomal RNA
Rfam family: Bacterial small subunit ribosomal RNA
Source: RNAcentral